GUAGGGCGCAAGCGUUAUCCGGAAUUAUUGGGCGUAAAGAGCUCGUAGGCGGUUUGUCGCGUCUGCCGUGAAAGUCCGGGGCUCAACUCCGGAUCUGCGGUGGGUACGGGCAGACUAGAGUGAUGUAGGGGAGACUGGAAUUCCUGGUGUAGCGGUGAAAUGCGCAGAUAUCAGGAGGAACACCGAUGGCGAAGGCAGGUCUCUGGGCAUUAACUGACGCUGAGGAGCGAAAGCAUGGGGAGCGAACAGG
Molecule: ribosomal RNA, 250 nt
Filed under: uncultured bacterium
Lineage: Bacteria
Description: partial 16S ribosomal RNA
Rfam family: Bacterial small subunit ribosomal RNA
Source: RNAcentral